Molecule: long non-coding RNA, 3297 nt
Filed under: Gossypium barbadense (sea-island cotton)
Lineage: Eukaryota; Viridiplantae; Streptophyta; Magnoliopsida; Malvales; Malvaceae
Description: long non-coding RNA (GBAR_LNC011215)
Source: RNAcentral
GGCCUUGUUUGGUUCACAUGAAUGGCUUAGCCAUUCCUCCCUUAUUCAACACAAUGAUCUUAUUCAGGGGUUUGGUUGGCUGUAAAGCCUAUUCAAUGGAAUAGCUAUUACAGCCUUAUUCCUCAAAAUCACUGAAUAGCAAUUCAACGCCAUCACUAAUGAAUGGCUAUUCAACGCUUCCAGUAAUACAAAAAAUUAUUUUUCUUUCCUUUUCUACCCAUCUCACAUCUCUUCAAAUUCCCUACUCCUAUCUGAGAGUUUUUCAACAAAUCUAUCGUGCGGUAUGAAAUUUCUCUGUUUUAUUUAAACUUUUUCUUCUUACUUUCUAUUUACCCUCACCAUUCUCCCAAUAUACCUGUAUAGAACGUUUGGAGUGAGCAAGAAGAGGGGUUUGAAAGACCAGCAGCAGCAGCCAUGGUGAAGAAGAUUAGCGUCACAAAUAAAGCCUUGAUUCCAGGUUUAAUCAAACCCUCAAAAAUGUCCAAGGGUACCUCUUUUUAAUUCUGGUUUCUCAAUGUUGAUUUUUUAUUGUUCUUUUUCAUUGGAUUUAGAGAAAUACCUUUUGAUCUUUUGAAUUUCAGUUUUGAUUCUGAAUUCCUGUGGAAGAAUUUUUCCUCUUUUGGGAGAAAUUUUGAUUUCGCAAAAAUUUUCAAUUAGGUUUAUUGGGUUUAAUUUGUUGCGAUUUGCACUUAGAUUGAAAGCGUCUUUUGGGAAUUAAAGCGAGAUCUCACAAGUUCUACUUAAUGGCAUGACCUAGUUUUUUUCUUUUGGAAGAUGAUCCUUUCAUCUUUGUGCUUAGAUCAUAGUAUUUAUCUAUUUUUCCUUAAAAAGUCUGAUAUUUUGGUUUAUGUUGUAAUUUGAUCAUGGCAUUGUUGUUGAGGAAUCAUAGGCAUCACAGGGGGUUCAAAAAGGGUUGCUCAUUGUCUUUUAGCAUGGAGGGAGAGGCCAUGGAUUUGGCAUAUUAAAUAGUUGUUUCUUCAUAUUAAGAAGUUAGAGAGGUAGGAGAUGGUUAAAGUGGUAAAGGCAAGGAGAAAUUCUGUGCUUGUAAGGAAGAAUUCGGUAAGUAUUCCUUGAAAUUUACACACACUUACUCAUUUAGUUAAUUGUCAAGUCGAAUUAAACUAGUUGGUGACUUCAAUUAAGUUGUCUGAAUUUUAUUAUUAAACUGUCAAUUAGCUGCUGUUGAUUUUUGGUUAGGAGCAAAUAAAUCAUGUUGGAAAUUUGAAGAAAUGGUUGUGAAUAAAAAAAAAUGACUGUUUUUGGUUAUGGUGUGAGUUUAAGUUAUUUCUUGAAUGAUUUAUUGUACUCUAAUGCUGGUAUGUGUGAUGAAAAUUGAAGGAAAAGUCUUGAUGAUUGUUAGUUGUUGAGUGAACUGUCGAGGAAUGCAAACUCCAUGCAUGCUGUCAGAAUAUGACUUUUUGUAAUGAAAUUAAGGUAACAUGCUGCUGGAAUUGAUUAAAUAUUAAUGUCCUAAGCUGAAAUUAGAAGAUGUCAUAGUUAUAAUUAAGAUUUCCUACUGCUUGGUCUUGAUUAAAAUGUAAGUAUUUAUGCUGUAAGUAUUUAUGUUGUCUUAAACCAUUAUCUAAAGUGGAUUAAUUGUCGUAAUUUAAACGGUCUUAAUAAUGAAAUUGUGGUAUCUUCAAAUGACAAAUUAGGAGGGGUUAUAGCUGUGAUUUAUAGUGCUUUGGUGCCGUGGUUAAAAUGUGUAACUCUGGGAUUGAUAUUGAUGAUGUGUCGUUAAUGAGUAAACUGCGUUUUAUUUGCCGAAUGACUUGUUAUUUUAGAAGUAUAAAUUGAGUGUUGCUAAUGGUGAGUUUUCUUUAAACUCGUUUUGUUAUUUUCAUACUUAAUAUAUAUAUAUUAUUAGAAUUGAUGUUUCGGUUUUGAUUUAAUGGCUGAAAAUGUUCUUUAAAUUUUCAAGGCUACUUACUAUCUAGCAUUAGCUAGAUUCGUUUAUUGUAAGUUUAAAUGCUGCUCGGAAAUAGUGUAAAAAUUACUGCUAUCCAAUUUUGUGCCCUUAUUUUGCUGUCCAAAAUUUGAACAAAUUAAUGGUUCUAUUUUCAUGUUGAUUGAGGGCUGUAAAGACAGUCCCAUUUGUUGCAUUAUGCUAUUCAGUUUUGGGACCAAAUAAUUGAGUAUUACUGGAUUAAAAAUCAUGGAUUGUUGCUGUGAUGAACUAAUAAAUUUUAAUACUAUUGAGUGUGUUCUUGGGGGAUACAAAUGCCCUGCAUGUUGCUGUCUUGUGCUGUCCAAAAUAGGACAAAUUGAAUGUGCUUGUGAGUGAGUUUUUCAAAGGAAACUUUGCAAAUUCUCAUGUUUAAAUUCUGAAGUUUGCAUGCAGGUAAGCUAUGGUUGUAGGGGUUUAUAAAUCGAGUUUAGUAGCUAAAAUAUUAUGUUAUUCUUGCUAAGUUCGGUUGUUAGUAGUGAAGUGAAAAUUUGACAAUUAAAUGCUUAAAUGACUGCUGGAAACUACAGCUUGAAAGCUCAUUAUUCCAGCAUAUAAAUACUUAUUUGAAUGUGUUGUAAUAUGUAGAGCAAUUGGUCUGCUGCAUGUAUGAAAUAAAAGAAAAACAAUAGUUGUUAAAUAUUAGUUUUUGUUGCUGAUCGAAAAGGUUAAAUUCGUUGUUAAAGGGGAUGUAAAUUGGUGUUAAUUAAGCUGUCGGAUAGGGCUAAUAAAACAGUUUGAAUGUGAUGCUAUUAAGCUGAUUUAAUGUAAGGUGAACUUUUUUUUUCAAAAACAAGCACAUUAUGAUUGAUCUUGGCAUCGAUAAUAACAAGAUUAACUGGGCUCUCAAGGACAAACAGGAGUUCAGAGACAUCAUUGGGACUGUAUAUCGUGAGGCAUGGAAAGGCCGUGGUUUGAAAGAUUACUCGAAAAAGUACUGCUAUUGAGUAUUCUUCCAACAUGUAGUUGAUCAGAAUGUAAAUUGUAUGUAGAUAUGUGUGUCAUUUGCAUUGUUUGGUUGCAUGAAUGUGGAGGAUAAUCCAAUUUGAGAUGAAACUUUGAAAUAUAUAUUUUAUGUGCUCUUUUGAUGCUUGUUUACAGUAUAGCACCUUAGCUUGGAGUGACUUUCCUUACAGUUGUUUGAUAAGGAACAAGUGUUUUAAUUUAACUAUAUAAAAAUAUAAAUGAUAUGUUUAUAAAGAUGAUAAUAUGUUGAUUCAGCCAUGGUUGUAGACGAAUCUUCCAAUUAACUCAAUUGAAGAUUAUAUAAACUUGAUUUUUAUUAUAUAAAAGAUAAAAGAAAUUUAGUAAAGGAAGAAAAAGAGUGCAAGGAAAAAAUAAAUGGAUAAUGG